GAUGAACGCUAGCGGCAGGCUUAAUACAUGCAAGUCGAGGGGUAACAUGGUAGCAAUACUGAUGACGACCGGCAAACGGGUGCGGAACACGUACAGAACCUUCCUUUAAGCGGGGGAUAGCCCAUAGAAAUGUGGAUUAAUACCCCAUAGUAAUAUUGUCUGGCAUCAGAUGGUAUUUAAAGAUUUAUCACUUAAAGAUGGCUGUGCGGCUGAUUAGGUAGUUGGUGNGGGUAACGGCCCACCAAGCCUUCGAUCAGUAACUGGUGUGAGAGCACGACCAGUCACACGGGCACUGAGACACGGGCCCGACUCCUACGGGAGGCAGCAGUAAGGAAUAUUGGUCAAUGGACGCAAGUCUGAACCAGCCA
This 368-nucleotide ribosomal RNA is filed under the name uncultured bacterium. RNAcentral's name for it is "bacterial SSU rRNA". It matches the Rfam family "Bacterial small subunit ribosomal RNA", at positions 28 to 394 of the family's 1533-position model. The record is from RNAcentral.